RNAcentral lists this long non-coding RNA (2135 nucleotides) under Linum usitatissimum (flax). RNAcentral's name for it is "long non-coding RNA (LUSI_LNC007627)". Lineage: Eukaryota; Viridiplantae; Streptophyta; Magnoliopsida; Malpighiales; Linaceae. The record is from RNAcentral.
CGACAUCUUAUUAUUUAUCAAGACUACUCGAGCCAACGGGCCCUAAUCACAAUCACCAAGAUCUAAACUAGGGUUUCUGGUAUCCGCUAGUCCGAGAGUCCAUCCGACGGCUGCUGAUCAAAAUCGCAAGUUUACAAAGCUAGGGUUUCCCAAGUAUAUAACUUACACAGUUACAGCCUCAAACGGCGCUGUGCAGUUUGUGCUAGUGCUUCUGCCCUCCCACCCUUAGAAAAAACCCCAAAAAAAUUUCCAGUUUCCUUUACGUCGUCUUGCCGUCCGGUUCUAGUCUCCGGUCGCCGGCGAUUCUAUCCUUGCUCUAUCCUAUUCCCCGCACUCUCUUCUCUUCGUUUAUACCUAAGUUUACCCUAAAAAAAUUGGUCUUCUCUAUUUCUUAUCCAGUUCUAGAGUUUGUUGGUGUUUUUUUCCCAGUUUGUGAAAGGGUGGUGUGUUGAAGGCAUUGGUUUUAUAUUAUUGUCGCGAAGAGGAGAGCGGGGAACGAAAAAAAGCUAAAAAGUUUUCAUUAGAAAAGGAAAAAAGAAAGUGAGUGGGAAUUGCACAACGCUUGUAAUAUGGCACAGGUUCAGGCUCAGCAUCAACAGUCGGCGGCUACAGUUGGGGCUACGUCGAUGCCUGCGCAGAACGGAGUGGCUGUCGCGGCUGGACCGAUCCCAUUCGGUGCGACCUCCCUCUAUGUGGGUGAUCUUGAUCUGAACGUGUAAUUACCUAAUUAUUCUAAAUAUUCACUAACAUUAUCUAAUUACACUAAUCAUACCCUAAAAAUUCUCUAAUUACACUAAUCAUAAUAAUUAAAUUCAUUAAUUAAAAAAAAGGACCGGUCGGGGCCCCUCUCAACCCAAACAAGCGGCCGGCCACGGCCUCUUGUAGGUCUCUUUUGUGCUAGUGCUUCUGCCCUCCCACCCUUAGAAAAAACCCCAAAAAAAUUUCCAGUUUCCUUUACGUCGUCUUGCCGUCCGGUUCUAGUCUCCGGUCGCCGGCGAUUCUAUCCUUGCUCUAUCCUAUUCCCCGCACUCUCUUCUCUUCGUUUAUACCUAAGUUUACCCUAAAAAAAUUGGUCUUCUCUAUUUCUUAUCCAGUUCUAGAGUUUGUUGGUGUUUUUUUCCCAGUUUGUGAAAGGGUGGUGUGUUGAAGGCAUUGGUUUUAUAUUAUUGUCGCGAAGAGGAGAGCGGGGAACGAAAAAAAGCUAAAAAGUUUUCAUUAGAAAAGGAAAAAAGAAAGUGAGUGGGAAUUGCACAACGCUUGUAAUAUGGCACAGGUUCAGGCUCAGCAUCAACAGUCGGCGGCUACAGUUGGGGCUACGUCGAUGCCUGCGCAGAACGGAGUGGCUGUCGCGGCUGGACCGAUCCCAUUCGGUGCGACCUCCCUCUAUGUGGGUGAUCUUGAUCUGAACGUGACGGAGGCCCAGCUUUUUGAUCUGUUUGGCCAAGUCGGUCAGUUGGUCUCCGUUCGGAUCUGCAAGGACCAGGCUACACGACGGUCCCUCGGCUAUGGUUAUGUUAACUAUAACAAUGGCCAAGAAGGUCAGAGUUCAUUUCCUUGAUUACUUAUACAAGAGUCUCUGACUAUAUUACGCAGUGCUUGUGACUUGUGUUAUCAGUCUCUGGUUUGUUAAAGUUCUAUGAAAUUGUAUUUAGAGGCGAUAUCCCACAAUUAUGUACAAUGUUCGGCAGUUAUUUGGGAAAGGAACUUGUUCUGUAAUAUGAUUAGUAAUCUUCGUCGAAACUAUGUUGUUGUAACGAAGUUAGGGGAUGUGAGUUAUUUCAGUUUGAUUGUGCAAUAUGUUCACAUCUCGAUAAGACCCACAUGUUCUGAUUAGAAAUGUUCUGUGAGAUCUAGGUACUUUGUUGUUACCAUGACACAUUUACACCAGGACCAUUAGGUGCUGCUUAAUUCUGCAAUACGUUUACAUCUCUAUAAGAUCCUCCUGUUAUUAUUUGAGUACACACUUGGAAAAUAUUUUGCGAGAUAUAGGUACUGUUUUGUUUCCAUUACAAUUUAUGAACUUGAGUUUCCCCUUACUAUUUUCUCAUGUUUGGUUGCUUUCUGUACUUGCUCAUGUAAAUACUUUAGAAGUUGUGCUUUGAGCCAUCCACUGACAUUUUGUCCUCAACAGCUGG